CACACACACACACACACACACACACACACACACAAAUAAAAUCUGAUUUCAAAUGGGCUGUGGUCAGAAGAUCCCACAUCUAAAGGGGCAGAGCAUUAGGUAAUCAUGCAGAGCUCAGCCUUCUUCAGAGUAGUGUGCAGGCUUAACAGGAGGGUGGAGUUGUGUGCUAAACCAAUGGGCUUCGUCAAUGCAUCCUUUGUAUGUUACCCCCGCCAUUUCUUCCUCUCUGUAAACUGCUGUCUGCUACAAAACGGGACCACACAUUUGAAAAAAUAUUAAUAUAUUAACCAGUGGUAUACUUUCUAUGCUGUUACUUCCUGAAAUAUAAAAGUGGACACACGUUUAAAGUAUUGGUAUUUCUUUUUUGGUUUAAACAAAAGCAGUCCAUAUGCAAAACCACCACCAUCAGGAGCCAACAAGAACCUCGAUCCACAGAAAGAGGGGCUUAGGGCACAGGGCUGUGCUCCUGUGGAAUUGCAUCUACAUUGCCAGCCUGUACCCUGAGUGACAGAUGGAUGCAGAGAAAUGAAAAGGCUGUAUCUUCCCUCUAAGACAAGAAUAAUAGUGUGCAUGCACAAAGUAGAAUGUCAGGGAUAUACUUAGUGAAUCAGAGAAGCAGAUAGGGUGCAGUCAAGAAGAAAGUGUUGGCCUUCUUGACUGUUUCCAUAGUUUAAUCAGUGGUAACCAGAGUCUGUAAAUAGAUCCUCUUUGUCCUGGCCUCUCCCAUCACCCACAGCUCUCUACCAUUCUUAAAGGUCUGGUGAUUUUUAAAAUAAAGGGGUAGAGACAAGGUGAUGGAAGUUAGAUUGUAAGAGGUAAGUUUUUCAGUUUUAAAAUUUUAAAUUCAGUCUUAAAAUUUAUGGAGGAAAGGUAAUAAGGAAAUGGAAGAAAAUGGUUAGAUCCUACAAAACAAAAUAUUCCAUUGGGAUUGUAAAAUGUAAUUUUAAAAUUCUGAGUAUUCAGUGUCUAUAUCAGGUAUGCAUUGCCAUUUCAAAGUAGUCUCCUAGAAUCCUCACAAAGCCACAGGAGGUAUCAGGUAGUGAACUGAAGCUUCAAGAGACUAACUGUUUGCUUGGACCAAGCAGCAAGUGGCCCAGUGAAGCCCAGUGUUCACAAAUCACAGCAGUGACAUUUCAGCCAUUUCGAGUGGAUAAACUGGAAAAAUCACAGAAGUGGAGAGCAGA
Molecule: long non-coding RNA, 1184 nt
Organism: Dipodomys spectabilis (banner-tailed kangaroo rat)
Lineage: Eukaryota; Metazoa; Chordata; Mammalia; Rodentia; Heteromyidae
Exons: 3
Source: RefSeq, a predicted model, not a curated record